AUACGUAGGGGGCAAGCGUUAUCCGGAUUUACUGGGUGUAAAGGGAGCGUAGACGGCAAAGCAAGUCUGAAGUGAAAGCCCCGGGCUCAACCCGGGAAUUGCUUUGGAAACUGUUUAGCUGGAGUGCAGGAGAGGUAAGCGGAAUUCCUAGUGUAGCGGUGAAAUGCGUAGAUAUUAGGAGGAACACCGGCGGCGAAGGCGGCUUACUGGACUGUAACUGACGUGGAGGCUCGAAAGCGUGGGGAGCAAACAGGAUUAGAUACCCUGGUAGUCCACGCCGUAAACGAUGAUUACUAGGUGUUGGUUGUCAUAGACAAUCGGUGCCGCAGCAAACGCAAUAAGUAAUCCACCUGGGGAGUACGUUCGCAAGAAUGGAACUCAAAUGAAUUGACGGGG
This 396-nucleotide ribosomal RNA is filed under the name uncultured bacterium. RNAcentral's name for it is "partial 16S ribosomal RNA". It matches the Rfam family "Bacterial small subunit ribosomal RNA", at positions 523 to 918 of the family's 1533-position model. The record is from RNAcentral.